AUGAACGCUAGCGACAGGCCUAACACAUGCAAGUCGAGGGGCAGCACAAGGAGCAAUCUGAGGUGGCGACCGGCGCACGGGUGAGUAACACGUAUGCGACCUGCCUGUAAGCGGGGAAUAACCCGUUGAAAGACGGACUAAUACCGCAUAAUACUAAAUUACUGCAUGGUAAUUUAUUUAAACAUUUAUGGCUUACAGAUGGGCAUGCGCAUGAUUAGCUAGUUGGAGAGGUAACGGCUCCCCAAGGCAACGAUCAUUAGGGGUUCUGAGAGGAAGGUCCCCCACACUGGUACUGAGACGCGGACCAGACUCCUACGGGAGGCAGCAGUGAGGAAUAUUGGUCAAUGGACGAGAGUCUGAACCAGCCAAGUCGCGUGCAGGAAGAAUGUCCUAUUGGAUUGUAAACUGCUUUUGCAGGGGAAUAAAGUGCAUCACGUGUGAUGUUUUGUAUGUACUCUGCGAAUAAGGAUCGGCUAACUCCGUGCCAGCAGCUGC
This 495-nucleotide ribosomal RNA is filed under the name uncultured bacterium. RNAcentral describes it as "bacterial SSU rRNA". It matches the Rfam family "Bacterial small subunit ribosomal RNA", at positions 29 to 518 of the family's 1533-position model. The record is from RNAcentral.